CUCCCUCCCUCCCUCCCUCGAAUAUAUGAGGAGCCAUGAAAAGUAUUGCAUGUUCUAGCGAUGGCUGGAUGGCUCUUCUUUGUUUCUGAUAGUUGAGGGGAGUGUCGUCUGGUACGAAGCCAUUGGAACAAACAAAGAGCAACUUCUCACUCCAUUUCUUGUGCUGGCAAAUGGUUUCGGACCAGGCUUCAUUCCCCCUAACUAGUGGCAGUGGUUGUUUCUCCCUUAGUUUCUCCACAAGCACAAGGGUUUGUUCAGUAGGAGGGUUAGAGAGUUUGGUGUGAUAGGAGCUUCGACUUUCUUGUCAGACAAGCAGGAAAUGGAUUCUUCACAGUAGCUUCACUUCAAAGGCUCUUUGUUGCACUGCCAUUAUUGCCUUGCCCUAACAAGUGGAAUAAAGAUUUGAUGCUUGCUUUUGCUUCUUUCUUUUGGUAGAUGUGCUUCUAAUCAGCUAACAAAAGAAUCUGUAAUUCAUCGAGAUGUGAUCCGAUGUUAAGGUGUUUUUUCUCCUCA
Molecule: non-coding RNA, 513 nt
Organism: Musa acuminata subsp. malaccensis (wild Malaysian banana)
Lineage: Eukaryota; Viridiplantae; Streptophyta; Magnoliopsida; Zingiberales; Musaceae
Source: RefSeq, a predicted model, not a curated record